GGCCUGCUAGCUCAGUCGGUUAGAGCGUCGUGCUAAUAACGCGAAGGACGUAGGUUCGAUCCCCACGUAGGCCA
Molecule: transfer RNA, 74 nt
Filed under: Rhipicephalus microplus (southern cattle tick)
Lineage: Eukaryota; Metazoa; Arthropoda; Arachnida; Ixodida; Ixodidae
Description: tRNA-Ile
Rfam family: tRNA
About the family: Transfer RNA (tRNA) molecules are approximately 80 nucleotides in length. Their secondary structure includes four short double-helical elements and three loops (D, anti-codon, and T loops).
Source: Rfam by way of RNAcentral